AAACCUCCCGCACUAAAAUGACCGGUGUUUCAGUUUCAUUGUCCAACCCCUGUUUAUAUAUGAUGAAGCUUGAUUAUUAUUAUAUAAGUUGUAAGAAGAAGAAUUUUUAAAUUUGACGUAUUUUGUAUAAUAACCAAUAUUUUGUAUAUAUAACCCCAUAUAUAUUCACACAAUUGCAGUGUUUUUUUUAUUUUUUAUUUAAACCACAGCUGGCGUUGUUAGCAGAAGGAAUGCAGCACAAGCAUUCGACUUAAUGAGCAGUAUGAUGGUGGGAGCCAGGAGAGCAUAGGUGAGAGCGACUCAGCAAGCAAUUCUCUCGGAUGCUUUAAAUCGUUAGCAACAGAGGAGACCUCCAGCUUCUCAGAGACAAGGUUUCAAAGCCUUGUUUCCAACAGCUCCAUCUCAGGCACCUUAGGGGAGGCCUGUUCAGUCCAGGACCAGCCCCUCUCCUUUGACCAGACACGGCUGGCGGUGGCUACAGCUGCAUUACGAGGACCAGCUCUGCCUCAGAGUUCCUCUCAAACACACAGACUUGCAAGGAUGCUUCUGGUUUUCCAAACCUUAAUAUGUUUCACUCACAACAAAUGGUUGCAUUUAAAAGCUGGAACCCUGAGAAAAAUGAGGGAACCACAACAGGUUGUGUAGUUAAAACAGAACAACGUGUUGAUCAAGACAACAAAUCAAGAAGUGAAGCAGGAUCUGACUCAAGAAAACCAGAGGAGAAGAGUGGACAUAUCCUGGGACUUGAUUGUUACUCUUCUUCCGAUGACGACACCAACACAUAGUCAUUUUUCAUACUGUUAUAUGAUGAUCGUUUUUGCUGUGUUAUUGAAUUGCCUGAAAAACCAAGUGGUGUUCAAAAAUAUUUGACCUAAAUUAAAACAUUAUUUUUCAUAAUGAUGGUCAAAUUUCUUAAAAGUCCACAUUUGUUACAAAAACAUAGUGUAGGCAAAAAGAAUUAACGUUAGUUACUUACUGCUAGCUCCAUUACGGUGGUAUGCUGGCCUGAGUUAUGCAGGGUCCGCACUGUGCAAUGCUCCGCUUUACUGUGGUACGAAUUAACGCAGAAUAUAUCCCUCAGCAGACAGCACCACUCAGCCACUACAUAGUAAAGCAACGACAUGACCCCACCAUUACUCUCAAAAUGUUUAAGCCUAAACAGUGCACCCAGACUGAAGCUGACAAUUAGAGCAGAAACUAGACAGAAUUAUUGGCAAUCUACCCAGCUGUCUGUAGUUGAUCAAAGAAAAUAUGAUCCAAAAUCCCCAGAGUCAGAUAUAUUGAACACAACUGUGGCUGAUCCUUUAUUUGUUCCUCAGUACGAAAAUGUCAUUGUUAAAGGCAAAUGGAAGCUCACAGAGCACUAAAAUAAGUAAAAAUAAAAUAUUGCACAAUCAAAGGUACACAUUUCCAGGAAGGAUGUUACCACUUCUACUAAGAGUUAUCUUUACUGCUUUGUAGUACAGGUGAGUGACACUUUUAAAUAAAUAUUUUUUUGAAUUUGUGCUGAAAUGCCUUCUACAUUUUAGUUUUUGAAGCAGUAAAAUAGUCAUGCUGUGAUUGGUAUUUUUAACAGUUUUAUUAGAAGGUACCUUGUGGUUUCAAAAAAUGUCUGAAUUUUAGUUUCAUAACAACAUUAAAAUGAUGGUUUUCAAUGUUUUUGCAAAAGACAA
Molecule: long non-coding RNA, 1673 nt
Organism: Girardinichthys multiradiatus
Lineage: Eukaryota; Metazoa; Chordata; Actinopteri; Cyprinodontiformes; Goodeidae
Exons: 2
Source: RefSeq, a predicted model, not a curated record